RNAcentral lists this ribosomal RNA (467 nucleotides) under uncultured bacterium. RNAcentral's name for it is "partial 16S ribosomal RNA". It matches the Rfam family "Bacterial small subunit ribosomal RNA", at positions 28 to 506 of the family's 1533-position model. The record is from RNAcentral.
GACGAACGCUGGCGGCGUGCUUAACACAUGCCAGUCGAACGGAAAGGCCCUGCUUUUGUGGGGUGCUCGAGUGGCGAACGGGUGAGUAACACGUGAGUAACCUGCCCUUGACUUUGGGAUAACUUCAGGAAACUGGGGCUAAUACCGGAUAGGAGCUCCUGCUGCAUGGUGGGGGUUGGAAAGUUUCGGCGGUUGGGGAUGGACUCGCGGCUUAUCAGCUUGUUGGUGGGGUAGUGGCUUACUAAGGCUUUGACGGGUAGCCGGCCUGAGAGGGUGACCGGCCACAUUGGGACUGAGAUACGGCCCAGACUCCUACGGGAGGCAGCAGUGGGGAAUAUUGCACAAUGGGCGGAAGCCUGAUGCAGCAACGCCGCGUGCGGGAUGACGGCCUUCGGGUGGGAAACCGCUUUCGCCUGUGACGAAGCGUGAGUGACGGUAAUGGGGAAAGAAGCACCGGCUAACUACGU